This is a long non-coding RNA of Ornithorhynchus anatinus (platypus), 2705 nucleotides long. RefSeq lists it as uncharacterized. The record is from RefSeq and is a predicted model, not a curated record. Lineage: Eukaryota; Metazoa; Chordata; Mammalia; Monotremata; Ornithorhynchidae. The transcript is spliced from 2 exons.
GACGAUAGAUAAGAAUGCUGGUACUUAAGUGCUUCCUGUUUGUCAAGCACCGUCCUGAGCGCUGGGGCGGAUACGAGAUAACGAGGUCGGACGCGGACCCCGUCCCACGGUCUAAACGGGCGGGAGUAGGGUUGAAUCCCCAUCUCACGGAUGAGGAGACCGAGACCCAGAGCAGUUAAGUAACUUGCCCGAGGUCACACGGCAGACCCGUGGCGGUCAAGAGUAGGAUCCAGGUCCUGCGACUCCCAGGCCCGGGCAGUUUCUGCCAGGCUUCGCCGUUUUCCUAACGGGAGAGAGAGAGAGAGAGAGGCUCAGCCCGGGCUCUGCCCGCCCGAUCAGGUGGCCAGAUGGUGUACGGGGGGAGCCUGCCCGCCCGGGCUGAGGAAAGGCAGGACGUCGCUAGUCUGAUGGCGGUCCUGGGGCUUCGCGUGUGGGUGCGUGUGCGCCUGCCCCCCGGCCGUCCAGCAGGUGCGGCCGGCGAGCGGGAGGCCGGUCUCCCCCGCGCUCCCCUCCCUCCUCCCUCCCCCGGAGUGCUCGAAUUAAGUGCCGCCUCACAGUCCGAGUUUCCCAUCUUUCCCUCUCACCUUCUUCCUUCCGGAGCUCACGGGGAGCCGGCCGGGGUCAGCGGACGGCCCGUCCGCGUCGCCGCAGCCUCCGGCCGUCGCGGUCUGCGCCGUCCCAAGCGGGACGGAGCCGUGUCCGGCCGUCCGGCCAGACCGGGUCUCCGGUCCGGGAGCACCGACCGUCGGAGGCCGCCGGCCGCCCUUUCCGGAGCGGGGUAGGUCCGCGGGCGCGACCUAACCGGGCAGGGAGGCCGGGCCACCGGGUACACGUCCCCCGGCGCGGGGCAAGCACAUUUCCGGCCGCUCCGGCCGGGUCCCGGUGGGGGGGGCGGUAGCCGAAGGGUCUACGUCUGGGUGGCGCUGGCUCCCUUCCGCCACCGCGCGCCCCCAGCCCAGUCUGGGCAGAGGCGAUCCCGUCGCGGGUGCCGCCCGGGGUUCACGGAGGCCCCUCUCUCGGAGGGAUCCUUUCCGCGGGAGGAGCUGGCGGGCCGCCGCGUACCGGUGAGCUCUCGCCCUGAAACGGAGGGCUCCUUCUCUCUUCUCCGCCCCGCCUCCGGACCUGCCGGUGGUUUUGUAGCCAGCGUGCGUGUGGAACACCUCCCUCCUCCUCCUUCCCCCCGCCCUCCCUUACCAGGCGGUUACGGUGGGCUCCGCAGCCCUCGUCGGGUGAGUCCGGUCCCGAACCCACCCACCCUCCCCAAAGAUGACCCAAACGGCCCCGGCCACAAAUAGACCAGCUUUAAUAGAUAUUAAUUUGAUGUCGGUCGAGCACCGUCGUCCCCGGAGCGCCCGCCCCACGCUUUACAGACGUUCUCGGACGGAUCCCCACAACAACCCCGCGAGGCAGGUCGACGCCGAGGGCGGCGGGAGGAGCCGGGACGGCCGCCGGCAGGGACGGGGCGACCUUCGCCCCACGCGUCCGGGGGCAUCGGUGGCAAGGAGCCGACCGCCUCCAGGCAGAGGAGGCUGUAAAGACCCAAUCUACCUGCCACGCCAUCCCGGUCCUCAGCGCGAGGCCGGCGGGGGACGUCCGGCGACGGAAUCGCGCGCCCCGCUUCGCAGCGGAUGCGCGUCUGGUUCCGCCGCGCCCGCGCGGCGGUAGGUACGCUGCGGUCGGCCCCGACCGGCUCCUAACGCUUUCGUGCUCACUGUCUCCUUUCCUCACCCCGAGCCCUCCGGCGUGGGCGCGCGUGGGCCGGAGUCCUGGUUCUGGCCUCGACUCCGGGAUCUUCCAUUUAGUUUCAGCUGCGCUUAGAAGUAAAAGAGCAGAUUGAGAAACCGUUACCCAAACUCCCCCACGGUCAGUGUUUUAGAAAAUGAGGAUGGGGUGGGGGGGGGAGAAACCCUGUCAUGUGAUUCUGAGCUCCUUCUGGAUGGAAAACCUGCAGUCUAACGGGCGUGCACUUUUCCUGGGCAAGGGCGGAGCCGGGUGAGUCUCCGGGCGAAGACUCGGACCCCUAGGCCCAGGCCGGCGGACGGAGGGUCGCGGGGGGCAUCUCGACCCUGCCCGCGCACCGCCCUCCCCGUCCGUAAAAACGCGGCCCGGCUUUCUCUCGGCACCUCCGGUUGAACGGCCCGGUUUCGCGAGCCACCCUGUCGGACUGAACCAGUGGGCGAAGUCACACUUCCUGAGCUAAAAGGUACAGAUAAGUAAGUGUUCAUCGUAGCAGCAGACGUAAGACGUUCUCUUACCCCGUAUCGAACGUUUCGCGAAACGGUCCUCGAAACUUCCCGUCGGGUCAAAACAGAUCACGCCCGGAGAGGGGACUCCCCUUCCCGCCCCGGCCGCCAGCCGAAGUACGGGGCCGGCCUUUGCCGCGCGCGCCGCCGUCGUUCUGAUCGUGGGAGGAGGUAUCCGUCCGGCGCAGCCGCCCGCCCCUAGCGGCUCCGGCACAGGUUUAGAAACUUGUUGCAGUUCCAGUUGAGACGAGUUUCGAUCGGGCCUGAGUGUUGAAACGAGGACACGUCCCGCGGGAGACGGCCCCACGCCGCCAGAGACGGAGGUGCACACCGUGCGCACAGAAAGAAUGCUACCUUGUCUCUCCAUGGCAUUUCUGACUGAAAGGCAGGUGUCUUGCUGAUAGCAAACAGAAUUCAAAUUUAUCCCUCAAAAUAGGAAAUUAAAUAAAGGAUAUAGAAUCA